This is a transfer RNA of Pygoscelis adeliae (Adelie penguin), 72 nucleotides long. It matches the Rfam family "tRNA". From Rfam's summary of the family: Transfer RNA (tRNA) molecules are approximately 80 nucleotides in length. Their secondary structure includes four short double-helical elements and three loops (D, anti-codon, and T loops). The record is from Rfam. Lineage: Eukaryota; Metazoa; Chordata; Aves; Sphenisciformes; Spheniscidae.
GGGGAUGUAGCUCAGUGGCAGAGCGCCUGCUUCGCAUGUGGGAGGUCCUGGGUUCAAUCCCCAGCAUCUCCA